Long non-coding RNA from Coturnix japonica (Japanese quail), 2638 nucleotides. RefSeq lists it as uncharacterized. The record is from RefSeq and is a predicted model, not a curated record. NCBI's taxonomy places the organism in Eukaryota, Metazoa, Chordata, Aves, Galliformes, Phasianidae.
AGCAGCUCCCAUUGAUUUUUCUGAGAGUCCCUAAUCAAGCAUCCAAGAAAGAAAUUUGACCCCAAAUAGGGAUUUCUAGGGCAAGGGGGAUUUGUCUGGGCAGUUUGCUUCUGAAGGAAGAAAGCCGUAUUCUUUCCUCUCUUGAAAGGCAGUUGAUGAAAGAAACAUAAGGAACGGCUCUGCAAAAAGAAAACAAAAAGGUUCCAAACUGCAGGUAGAAACAAUAUGUCUUUUGAUAAAGCUAAUGUUGCUUUGUGUCAAAAGCAGAGUUCAGAUCGCCGGGAGUUACAGUCUUUGUGCAACGAUUUCCUACCUCACUCCAUCAAAGGCUUGCAAGCACUGUGCUGAAUACACCACCGCUCAAAAAGAAAACCGGGAUAAAGAGUAACCCUGAAGGAAGAAAAAAAUCCAUGGAGAAUAUAUUUGUUUUAACAAGAUCACAGGUUUGCUGCAUAAUGAGACUGCUCUGAGGCUUACCUGGCAAGAAAUGCCUUGUUUGGUACGUCUUCUUUUCUUCCCUAGAUUCCCCUAUCAAUUCUUCAGCUAGACAGAACUUAAUCACCCAUUUUCUUACUGGUGGGCAAUGUGUUUUAGCAGAGACCUUCCUCCACCCUAGAGACAAUGGUAAUCUGCACUGUCUUAUCAGUGUUGUGACUUUGUGGCUGAAAUGCCAGUUUCAAUGGCUUGAGUGAAUAAUUUGGGCAAAAUUUGGUUGGUUGUUUUUUGGUUUCUUUGUUUGUUUGCUUGUUGUUAUUAUUUCAGUCUUUUCAUCCUUCCUUCAAUUGACCAUCUUGAAAGAAGAGAAAUCCCUUCUUAGACCCUACUGAGGAGCAGAGAAUGACUUGGGGAGUGCACAACAAUUCUUUCUAGUCUAAUUGUAGAUGUAUUAUACUCCAGCCUGAAAAGUAAUUGCAAGUCCUUGAGGCUCAUAAGGGAUUUGAAUCCUUUGCUGACUAAGGAUGCAAUUUAAAUAAAUGCACAUCUUUAAGCAGGUCAUAAAGCAUCAUUAAGCCAGAGGAGACAAGGAAGCCUCACUUCUGAUUUUGAAUGGAAGGACUCCUGACUACCUUUGAGCACUCGUCUGAUAUCCAGUAAGCAACUAUCAAACUUGCCAAAUGCAACAAGCUUUGCUGAACCCCUCCCAUAGUCACUGCUGUUUGCAGUGAAUUCAGCAGAGUCAAGGGGAAAGAACAUGGUGGAUUCCUGGCUCAAAGAUUUUUAAAUUACCUCAAUGCCAGCAUACCCAGUGCAGUGUAAGGACAUACUGCUAUAAUACUGACACCACCUCUGUGGCUCUGAGAUGUCCACGAGCCAUGGAGCCAUCACAAGUGAGCUUUCCAUGUUCUGAUGAUAAACCAGUGAUGGUGUUUUCAGAUGUAAUUUCUGGACAUGUUUAAUGCAUUUACAUAUUUACCUAUUCUUAUUUCAAGCUGUCUGAGCUAGCCCAAAGACCUCGGGUAACUUCAUGACAAAAGAAACAGUGCUUGCAUGUUAGGGAAGGUAGAGCUGCAACUGUGCCUUCAGCUUUCCUUGUGCUCAGUCUAAAUUGAUUCAGUGGUGUUUCUGUAACCAAUAUCUGAAGAGGACUGUGGAUAGGUAUUGGCUUUGUGAUAAGCAUCUAGAUCAUUAAGCUGUCUCUUUCCCAGGGAUUUAUGCAUACCAAAGAUGCUCUUGGCUAGCAGUAUCUUGACCCUAAGUUCUUCCAGAAACAAAAGUUCCAUGAUGCUUUCUGUGUGUUUCUGCAUCUUAUGAUUUGUGAGCCAGUCAGUCAGUCUCAGUCAAAGAUAUUGUAAAGGCAAGCAGGUCAGAGAACAUGUUCACAGACAUGUUCACACUUACCUGCCCAUGCAUGCUACAGCCUGACCUGUGAUCCUCCUACAGUAAUUGACCUGAGCAGGAGCACACCUUUCUUCCCUCUGUUCAUAUUUCAUUUUGGAGCUCAGGUGCAGCCCAGCGUAUGGCGUGCUUGGAUCAUAGAUCAUGAAAUGCCUCUGUGUUUCAUAAUCUGGAUGGGGAAAAAAAAACUUAAAAUCCUUUGAGUUUUAUGUAAAUAGGGCCAUAAGACAGCAGAUAUUUGUGGAGCAUUUCACACUUCAGGGAAGGCUGUGGCACGAGUCCAGCCUGUGCUAGACUUCAACAAAUCUGUGUAAGCAAGUCUUGGGCAGGCACAGGUCCUCUUCACAUGCAGUGCACACAAGAAUCCCAGAUGCAGGGAAAGCUUCACUUGUAGCUUGCGCUAUGAAAGCCACCUGGCAGACCAAGACACAAAUAUGUUGGAAGCUCAUCCUCAUUAGUUGUUCUAUUUACAGUUACUUGUCUGAAGAAAUGAAAGCACAACACUGUCUCCUUUCUUCUAGCUUUACCUUAACACUGUGCUAGCCCUAAGCCUCUGCAUACACAAUAUCUUUUUAGAAACUAUAACUGUUUUAGCAGCUGAAAGUCAAAAGCUCUUGAAGCUUAACUUCAAGCACUAUUUCUGGGGGAAAAGGGAAUGAGAACUAGAUGUUGGAAUUAAAUUAAUGACUUACUAUAUAAGAAAAACACUUCUGUUGACUUUAGAAAUUUUUUUCUUCCCUCAAGGCCUAUAAAAUAUCAUUUGGUGUAUGAAGACCUCUCUUGCUUUGUAAAUAAGACAGUG